AUUGAACGCUGGCGGCAUGCUUUACACAUGCAAGUCGAACGGCAGCGCGGGCUUCGGCCUGGCGGCGAGUGGCGAACGGGUGAGUAAUGCAUCGGAACGUGCCCAGUAGUGGGGGAUAGCCCGGCGAAAGCCGGAUUAAUACCGCAUACGACCUGAGGGUGAAAGCGGGGGACCGAAAGGCCUCGCGCUAUUGGAGCGGCCGAUGUCGGAUUAGCUAGUUGGUGGGGUGAAGGCUUACCAAGGCGACGAUCCGUAGCUGGUCUGAGAGGACGACCAGCCACACUGGGACUGAGACACGGCCCAGACUCCUACGGGAGGCAGCAGUGGGGAAUUUUGGACAAUGGGGGCAACCCUGAUCCAGCCAUGCCGCGUGCGGGAAGAAGGCCUUCGGGUUGUAAACCGCUUUUGUUCGGGAAGAAAUCCUCUGGGCUAAUACCCCGGGGGGAUGACGGUACCGGAAGAAUAAGCACCGGCUAACUACGUG
RNAcentral lists this ribosomal RNA (484 nucleotides) under uncultured bacterium. RNAcentral describes it as "partial 16S ribosomal RNA". It matches the Rfam family "Bacterial small subunit ribosomal RNA", at positions 28 to 507 of the family's 1533-position model. The record is from RNAcentral.